This is a non-coding RNA of Danio rerio (zebrafish), 117 nucleotides long. NCBI's taxonomy places the organism in Eukaryota, Metazoa, Chordata, Actinopteri, Cypriniformes, Danionidae. The record is from Rfam.
AGCCACAGCCAUGUCACCCUGCAGCCCAAGACCGGUUACUCACUGAAGCUAAGCAGGGCUGAGCCUGGUCAGUACCUGGAUCAGAGACCACUAGGGAACACUAGGUUGCUGUUGGAA